CGCGUUGAGGAACCUGCCUCAAAGAGGGGGACAACAGUUGGAAACGACUGCUAAUACCGCAUAAGCCCACGACCCGGCAUCGGGUAGAGGGAAAAGGAGCAAUCCGCUUUGAGAUGGCCUCGCGUCCGAUUAGCUAGUUGGUGAGGUAAUGGCCCACCAAGGCGACGAUCGGUAGCCGGACUGAGAGGUUGAACGGCCACAUUGGGACUGAGACACGGCCCAG
RNAcentral lists this ribosomal RNA (223 nucleotides) under uncultured bacterium. RNAcentral's name for it is "partial 16S ribosomal RNA". It matches the Rfam family "Bacterial small subunit ribosomal RNA", at positions 114 to 334 of the family's 1533-position model. The record is from RNAcentral.